RNAcentral lists this ribosomal RNA (253 nucleotides) under uncultured bacterium. RNAcentral's name for it is "partial 16S ribosomal RNA". It matches the Rfam family "Bacterial small subunit ribosomal RNA", at positions 524 to 776 of the family's 1533-position model. The record is from RNAcentral.
UACGUAGGGGGCAAGCGUUGUCCGGAUUUAUUGGGCGUAAAGAGCGUGUAGGCGGUCAGGUAGGUCCGUUGUGAAAACUCGAGGCUCAACCUCGAGACGCCGAUGGAAACCAUCUGACUAGAGUCCGGAAGAGGAGAGUGGAAUUCCUGGUGUAGCGGUGAAAUGCGCAGAUAUCAGGAAGAACACCCGUGGCUAGGGCGGCUCUCUAGUACGGUACUGACGCUGAGACGCGAAAGCGUGGGGAGCGAACAGG